CUCGACUUGCUGGGGUUAUUUAUAUCCUCAGCAAACAAAGAGAAAAUGCAGCCAAUACUGAUUGCAGAAGUGAGCAGUAUUAAUGGCUGGACAUAAUUUUGCUAUUUCCUGUUCUGUCAUUGAAUUUAUACCUUGUUCAGCCAAAGGAACUCACUGUAAUUUCACCCACCCUCUCUUUUGACCUUCUUUUCAGAAUGAACUCCCAGCAAACAAUAACAAGACUUUGGAUUCCUAUGGAGCAUGAAGACCAGCAAGUUCCCAUUCAGACACGUUUUUGGUUUAUUUGACUCCCUGAAGCAAAAAAUCUGACUGAUUUGUAACAGUGACCUAGUCAGAAACUUGGGUUUGUCAAAGGCAGAAGCAGAAUGACUGGCUUCAAGACUGCAGAGAAGGAAUCUGCUUUCAACGGGCACAAAUAUUUCUGUGAAGGAUUUUGACAUUUGAGAGAGAUAUUUCCCAGAAUAAAUGAUGCCAAGAUUCAGGAAGACAUUUUUAUUGGUCCACAAAUCAAACAGACUUCCUCCCUGCACACCUUAGCACUGUCAGUGAUGAGCAUGGUGAAAGAUUACACCAGGACAUUGUGGUCAUGGAGAAAUGGUAACAGGGCAACUGGAAUCCAUCAAUGCUGGCUGAUUAUUUUUGGACACCUAAGCAAGAAACCUCAGACACUAAGUACCAAUGAAAAUCAUCAGAACAUUUUUAGCUCUGUUGAACUACUGCAAAGCAUCAGCACCAUUAUGCAAUUAAACCCAUUAUAUUCAAUAAAAGUUAAUUUCUUGUUUCUCUAAAUUCCUAAAUAUGAGAAGUAGCUUGAAAUUAUAUUUGUGUUCAGCUUCAAGCGGUCUAUCGUAAACAAAAAUAAACUUCUGAGGAAGCAACACUUUUGGGAAAAAAAUGCUGUCCAGUGAAAUCUGCCAGAAGCACUCAGCACGUCAAGCAGUAUUUGUGUGUGUGGGGGUUGGGGGAGGUAAAGUCGAUGUUUUGGGUAGAAAGCCUGCAUCAGAUUCUAAUCCAAACUGUCCACAAUUCCUUUUCCCACAUGUACUGGCUGACCUGUUGAGUUCCUCCACAGAUUGUUCGUGACUACUUUGGAGAUGGGGCUUCCCUGUUGUCAAAGUUGAUGUGUGGCUUCUUGUACCUUGUUGGGAAGUAUUCCUGGGUGUUCCCACUGGGAGGACCAUUGCAAGACAAGUCUGCUAUGCUUACCCCAAAAUCCUGCUCCCUGCAUUUUCUGGCACACUGACGAGAUGAGGCCUCUGUCGGUCAGAGUUGACCAUGGAUGUUGUGUCCCAGCUGUCUAGAUACACAAGCCUGGGCAGUCCAAUAUGGAGAGUAAGCUGUUGCCCAUGUAGCAAGCUCCCCCUCUCCACACAUCUGAUGAACCCAAAAGGAAUGGCAGAGACAGAAAACAGUUUGGCACCAGCAGCAUCGCAGGAGUUGCCAGUCACCAUUGAACUCAACAUAGGUCUGCCUUAGGGACUCUGGCUCUGGACAUUUCCCUUGGGGUUUACUCCCAAAAUUUUCCCCUUGAGUCAGUAUAGCUGCAAGGCAGUGGAGGUUUGAGAUCAGAAUUUUCCUUCUAGAUGAGCUGCCAACCAUGGCUGGUGAACCCCAUCUACCCAAAGCAACUGGUUUUAAGGUGCCAGUAACCCACCUUUGCCCCUUCUCUUAUCAGAAGAAACGGUUCUGCCGGGCUUAGUAGCUAAGCCACAUGUGAAGGCCAGGAGCUGGACUUGGUUGUCAGAGGCUAUUUGAGACACACGCCAUUGGGAGCAUUUAAUAGGUGGUAGGAGCUUGUCCCCAGUACCACCCCCAGCUAUAACAGCCUUAAGGACCAGACAUACUGAGCUACUGAAAAGGUCACCAAUAGAACUGUGCCUUGUGGCUCCAAAUGACCCCAGUUCUAUCCCGACUUUGGGCACUGCUGGUGUGGAGUCCACACAUUCUCCAUGUGACCCUGGGUCCUCCUGCAUUCCAAAGACAUGCGUGUUGGUAGUUAAUUUGUCACUAAGAGGGAAUCAUCAUGAUGGUGCUGGUGAAACAGCGUGCUUUGCAGGCUUAUUGUGUUUCUUUGUAUUUACCGUGAAUACCUGCAAGAAAGUGAAUCUCAGAGUUGUAUAUGGUGACAUAUAUGUACCUUAAUAAAUUUACUCUGAACUUUGAACUGAUGGGAAUGUGGGGAGCACAAAAUAGGAUUAAUGGAAACAGCUGGUUGAUGGACAGUGUGGAUUCGAUGGGCCAAAAGGCGUUUUUCCAUGUUGUGUUGUCCAUGUUGUGUUGUUGUUCCUCCUACUUCCAAAAGACACAUUAGUAAAUAAACUAGCUGCUGUGCAGGUGGGUGGCAAAAAGAAUCAAAGGGGAGUACAUGGACAUGUGAGAGAGGAUAAUGUAGAGGUUACAAGGAAAUGAGAGGGAGGUAGAACUGACGGGAUUGCUCUGCUGGGAAUUUUGAGUAAAUCUUGGUUUCAAGUCACCAUCUGUGUACAUGAUUUGAAUGGGAAGCUAGGCCCAAACAGAUUUUAUAAAGAAGAUAAAAGAUUCUUUAUAAACAUUGAAACAUACACAGAAAUGUAUCAUUUGUGUCUGAAUAUGUGCCAGGAUCAGCCGCAACUGUCGCCAUGCUUCCGGCACCAACAUGGCAUGCCAGAACUUACUAACCCUAAACGGUACAUCUUUUGGAAUGUGGGAGGAAACCGGAGCACCUGGAGGAAACCCAUGCAGACAUGGGGAAAAUGUACAAACUCUUUACAGACAGCGACGGAAUUGAAUCCCAAUCGCUGAUUGCUGGUGCUGUAAUAGCAUUACGCAGAAAACGUGUAACAGGGCUGUCACAGGAAAUCAGCAUCCAUCAUCAAGGACCCUCAGCACACAGACCAUGCUCUCUUCUCACUGCUGCAAUCAGAAAGAAGGUACAGAAGCCUCAAGACCCACACCACCAGGUUCAGGAGCAGUUAUUAACCCUCAACCAUCAGGCUUUUAAACUAGAGGGGAUAGCUUCACUUGCCCAUCACUGAACUGUUCCCACAACCUAUGGACUCUCUUUCAAGGACUCUAAACUCAUGCUCUCGAUACUUAUUGCUUAUUGUUUAUUGCUACUAUUUUUUCUUUUUUUUUGUAUUUGCAUUUUGUUGGGUUUUUUUUUGCACAUUGGUUGUUUGUCCAUCCCGUUGGGUGCAGUCUUUCAUUGAUUCUAUUGUGUUUCUUGUACUAUAUGUACUUUGAUAAUAAACUUACUUUGAACACUAAACACAACACUACCAUGUCGCCCCAUUGAGUACUACAAUGUGGCAAAGGUGAAAACAGAGUUAGUUUCUUUUUGGUUGUUUCUGCUGGCAGUAAUAGACGCAUGCCAAUCAUUUGAAUGAAGGUCUCAUGGUCCUAGUCAAACAUUUACUUUUAAACCAAUAUCUAAUGUCAAUCUUGUGGUCUUUGCAGUUUUUGGUUGGGUGUAUAAUUGUCUACUCCCACCACCAAUUAAAUGCUUCCAGUGGUGUGAUUAAAAUAUCCACAGUGUAACAAUGAAUAUAUAUAUCAAAUGUCUUCUCAGUAACCAAAUUUCUGAUUUCAUAAGGUUGUGAUAAAAAAAAACUAUAGGAAUAUCAAUUAUCUCCUGCUCUACAAAAAUGGGGCAAGACUACUUAACAGAAAUGGCAGUUUAAGAGAUAUUUAGAUGUGCACAUGAAAUAUUUGGGAAUGGGAAGUGGGAAUACAGGCCAAGUGCAGGCAGGUGGGAUUAA
Long non-coding RNA from Mobula hypostoma (lesser devil ray), 3737 nucleotides. RefSeq lists it as uncharacterized. The transcript has 4 exons. Lineage: Eukaryota; Metazoa; Chordata; Chondrichthyes; Myliobatiformes; Myliobatidae. The record is from RefSeq and is a predicted model, not a curated record.